Long non-coding RNA from Archocentrus centrarchus (flier cichlid), 900 nucleotides. RefSeq lists it as uncharacterized. The record is from RefSeq and is a predicted model, not a curated record. NCBI's taxonomy places the organism in Eukaryota, Metazoa, Chordata, Actinopteri, Cichliformes, Cichlidae. The transcript is spliced from 3 exons.
CACCAACGACUCAGCUGUUCACACCGGGGUGUGAGUGCCUGUAAGGGUGAAUGUGCCUGUUCUCAGCAGUCCUUUAAGGAAAGUCUGCUCUACAAAGAGAGAUUCAAACUGAUGGAGAGGCGACUCUGAAAGCAAAGGAUUUGAACCAUCUAUUCUCAAACCACUAUAUUACACUCAACUUUUGUCAAAACAAACAAGCACCAUGGGAAGAGGUGAAAGUGAAGAGUGGGAUGAAAAGCACAACGAUGUGAGGCAAACCCAACCCCAGAGACACACGACCACAGACAGCAAAGGCUCGCAGAGCUCAGCGAGAAGCUGUCCCGAGUGCUGCUUGAAGACAAGGGCCUGCCUGAUGAGCCCGGAGUGUGGCAGGGCGCUUCAGAUCUCGAGAGUUGUCGCCAUGUGUGGAAUGUGUAUCCGCAUGUUUGUGUAGCUGAGCCUUGGACACCAGGACCAACUUUUCUGGGGUCGGUUUUUAUAAAUCACCCUGAAUGAAACUUAUGCUGCUAUUCAAUGAAGAUAUAAUACAGCAAUUUCUGAGAAUUCAUAUCGAUAAAACCAACUAUAAUUAUUAGUAAAUCAUAAGUGGCAACACUGAGGUAAAGAUAAUGUUACCUUAAUAACUUUUUUGUAAAAGGUUUAACUCUAAAGCCUCUCAUAAUUAAAUCAUGUUUGUUUAAUCAAACCAGAAAUUGUAUAUAUUCAUAUUUAUAUUUGUAAUGUUUUCAAUAAUGGUUAUAGUAAACUGUAACAUAUCUAAAUGGUGUCUUACCUGGGUUUGUGCUAAUGAAAACUGUUACAUAAAGCUUGAGUAUGUUCAGUGUACCAGUGUGAAUGAUAAAAAGUAUCAGUUACUUAAAUACUUUGUACAGUCGACACCACACAGAAUCUAACAGAUUA